AGUUGGAAACGACUGUUAAUACCGCAUAUAUCUGUGGAUUAAAGGUGGCCUUUGUGCUGUCGCAGAUGGAUGAGCCUGCGUUGGAUUAGCUGGUUGGUAGGGUAAGGGCCUACCAAGGCUACGAUCCAUAGCUGAUUUGAGAGGAUGAUCAGCCACAUUGGGACUGAGACACGGCCCAAACUCCUACGGGAGGCAGCAGUGGGGAAUAUUGGACAAUGGGGGCAACCCUGAUCCAGCAAUGCCAUGUGUGUGAAGAAGGCUCUAGAGUUGUAAAGCACUUUAGUUGGGGAGGAAAGCCUAUGGGUUAAUAGCCUAUGGGGAGGACGUUACCCAAAGAAUAAGCACCGGCUAACUCCGUGCCAGCAGCCGCGGUAAUACGGGGGGUGCAAGCGUUAAUCGGAAUUACUGGGCGUAAAGGGUCUGUAGGUGGUUUGUUAAGUCAGAUGUGAAAGCCCAGGGCUCAACCUUGGAACUGCAUUUGAUACUGGCAAACUAGAGUAUGGUAGAGGAAUGGGGAAUUUCUGGUGUAGCGGUGAAAUGCGUAGAGAUCAGAAGGAACACUGAUGGCGAAGGCAACAUUCUGGACUGAUACUGACACUGAGGGACGAAAGCGUGGGGAUCAAACAGGAUUAGAUACCCUGGUAGUCCACGCUGUAAACGAUGAGUACUAGCUGUUGGAGUCGGUGUAAAGGCUCUAGUGGCGCAGCUAACGCGAUAAGUACUCCGCCUGGGGACUACGGCCGCAAGGCUAAAACUCAAAGGAAUUGACGGGGACCCGCACAAGCGGUGGAGCAUGUGGUUUAAUUCGAUGCAACGCGAAGAACCUUACCUGGUCUUGACAUCCUGCGAACUUUCUAGAGAUAGAUUGGUGCCUUCGGGAACGCAGUGACAGGUGCUGCACGGCUGUCGUCAGCUCGUGUUGUGAAAUGUUGGGUUAAGUCCCGCAACGAGCGCAACCCCUAUUGAUAGUUACCAUCAUUAAGUUGGGUACUCUAUUGAGACUGCCGCUGACAAGGCGGAGGAAGGUGGGGACGACGUCAAGUCAUCAUGGCCCUUACGACCAGGGCUACACACGUGCUACAAUGGGUAUUACAGAGGGCUGCGAAGGAGCGAUCUGAAGCGAA
This 1124-nucleotide ribosomal RNA is filed under the name uncultured Pseudomonadota bacterium. Its description in RNAcentral is "bacterial SSU rRNA". It matches the Rfam family "Bacterial small subunit ribosomal RNA", at positions 148 to 1271 of the family's 1533-position model. The record is from RNAcentral. Lineage: Bacteria; Pseudomonadati; Pseudomonadota.